CUCCUAUAUGUCCUGGGCCGCACGCGCACUACACUGACACAGAAAACGAGCAUUCCGCUUUGCGGCCUGUGCCGAAGGGUACGGGAAAUCUUUGAAACCUGUGUCGUGAUGGGGAUAGAUCAUUGAAAUUAUUGUCCUUGAACGAGGAAUGUCUUGUAGGCGCGUUUCAUCAGAACGCACCGAAUACGUCCCUGGUUCUUGUACACACCGCCCGUCGUUGCCUGUAAUGGCUUGCGAGUAGAACCGUUUGGAGGUACCGGUGUUUACAUUGGUCCAAAAUUCGGUAAUACUUGUAAGCUAGAAGAGGCAAAAGUCGUANCA
This 321-nucleotide ribosomal RNA is filed under the name uncultured eukaryote. Its description in RNAcentral is "partial 18S ribosomal RNA". It matches the Rfam family "Eukaryotic small subunit ribosomal RNA", at positions 1470 to 1796 of the family's 1831-position model. The record is from RNAcentral.